RNAcentral lists this ribosomal RNA (562 nucleotides) under Dothiorella sarmentorum. Its description in RNAcentral is "eukaryotic LSU rRNA". The stretch from base 194 to 347 matches the Rfam family "5.8S ribosomal RNA". The record is from RNAcentral. Lineage: Eukaryota; Fungi; Ascomycota; Dothideomycetes; Botryosphaeriales; Botryosphaeriaceae.
UCCGUAGGUGAACCUGCGGAAGGAUCAUUACCGAGUUGAUUCGAGCUCCGGCUCGACUCUCCCACCCUUUGUGUACCUACCUCUGUUGCUUUGGCGGGCCCGCGGUCGGCCUCGUGCCGUCCAGCACCCGCCAGAGGACUACAAAACUCCAGUCAGUGAACGUCUCAGUCUGAAAAACAAGUUAAUAAACUAAAACUUUCAACAACGGAUCUCUUGGUUCUGGCAUCGAUGAAGAACGCAGCGAAAUGCGAUAAGUAAUGUGAAUUGCAGAAUUCAGUGAAUCAUCGAAUCUUUGAACGCACAUUGCGCCCCUUGGUAUUCCGGGGGGCAUGCCUGUUCGAGCGUCAUUUCAACCCUCAAGCUCUGCUUGGUAUUGGGCUCCGUCCUCAGGGACGCGCCUCAAAGACCUCGGCGGUGGCGUCUUGCCUCAAGCGUAGUAGAAAACACCUCGCUUUGGAGCGCACGGCGUCGCCCGCCGGACGAACCUUUGAAUUUUUCUCAAGGUUGACCUCGGAUCAGGUAGGGAUACCCGCUGAACUUAAGCAUAUCAAUAAGCGGAGGA